CCCUUAGAUGUUCUGGGCCGCACGCGCGCUACAAUGGCAGACUCAGCGAGUUACCUCUGUCGAAGGGCACAGGGAAUCUUUACAGUAUCUGCCGUGAUGGGGAUAGACCCUUGUAAUUUUUGGUCUUCAACGAGGAAUUCCUAGUAAACGCAAGUCAUUAACUUGCAUUGAUUACGUCCCUGCCCUUUGUACACACCGCCCGUCGCACCUACCGAUUGAAUGGUCCGGUGAAGUCCUCGGACCCAGUUGAACCUCGAGUUGAACAGGGAAAGUUGACUAAAUCUUACCAUUUAGAGGAAGGUGAAGUCGUAACA
This 314-nucleotide ribosomal RNA is filed under the name uncultured eukaryote. Its description in RNAcentral is "partial 18S ribosomal RNA". It matches the Rfam family "Eukaryotic small subunit ribosomal RNA", at positions 1470 to 1796 of the family's 1831-position model. The record is from RNAcentral.